Ctenopharyngodon idella (grass carp) is the source of this 618-nucleotide long non-coding RNA. RefSeq lists it as uncharacterized. The record is from RefSeq and is a predicted model, not a curated record. The transcript is spliced from 3 exons. NCBI's taxonomy places the organism in Eukaryota, Metazoa, Chordata, Actinopteri, Cypriniformes, Xenocyprididae.
AAAAAGUCUAACAUUGCUGUUGUUCGUUUAAUGUGUAUUUUCUCGUUGAAAUAGCUUAAAAUUAUUAUUUUUUUCAUUUAAAGUAAACAUUUUAGUUUAUAUUUAUGGUUGAAUCCAUUAUUUUACAUUGAUACAAUAUAAAUUGGCAGCGGGACAUUAAACUGAAUUUAUUAAUUUGAUCAGAGCAUUUUUAUUAGAUUAAGCAUGAUUUGCACAUGCGCAUUGUUGAGUUGGAGUUCCCGCUCUCUGAUUCAAAAAAAAAAAAAAACGUCAGUCACAGUUGAACUGUCUGUGAAGAACACAACACACAAUCUGUUGAGCGGCGGCCGUGACGGUACACUUCAACAGACGUCAGACCCCUCCAGCCAGGCUGCGACACAGAACUACGAGCAACAUUGAUACAGAUCAAUGCCGAGUUCUUGCGAAUUACAACAGUUCCCUUGGAGACAAAGUUCUUGGUGCAGUUGGACAAGCACUCCACCAAACUGUUGGAGGUCAUCAGGAGCAAGGGAGGAGUUGUGAAAGAGAAGACCACCAGGACCUUGCAGGUUUUAGAUGAGGAAAAUGAGGUUGAAGAACUGGAGCAGGCAACCAUGGCGAUCUUUAUCACUGGGAAAG